This 991-nucleotide ribosomal RNA is filed under the name uncultured bacterium. RNAcentral describes it as "bacterial SSU rRNA". It matches the Rfam family "Bacterial small subunit ribosomal RNA", at positions 510 to 1502 of the family's 1533-position model. The record is from RNAcentral.
AGCAGCCGCGGUAAUACGGAAGGUCCAAGCGUUAAUCGGAAUUACUGGGCGUAAAGCGCGCGUAGGUGGUUUAUUAAGUUGGGUGUGAAAGCCCCAGGCUCAACCUGGGAACUGCAUCCAAAACUGAUUCACUAGAGUACGAAAGAGGGAGGUAGAAUUCACAGUGUAGCGGUGGAAUGCGUAGAUAUUGUGAAGAAUACCAAUGGCGAAGGCAGCCUCCUGGUUCUGUACUGACACUGAGGUGCGAAAGCGUGGGUAGCGAACAGGAUUAGAUACCCUGGUAGUCCACGCCGUAAACGAUGACAACCAGCUGUUGGGAAGCAAUGCUUUUCAGUGGCGCAGCUAACGUCUUAAGUUGUCCGCCUGGGGAGUACGGCCGCAAGGUUAAAACUCAAAUGAAUUGACGGGGACCCGCACAAGCGGUGGAGCAUGUGGUUUAAUUCGAUGCAACGCGAAAAACCUUACCUACUCUUGACAUCCUUGGAAUCUCUUGUAAUGAGAGAGUGCCUUUUGGAACCAAGUGACAGGUGCUGCAUGGCUGUCGUCAGCUCGUGUCGUGAGAUGUUCCGUUAAGUCGGAUAACGAGCGCAACCCUUACCCUUAUUUGCCAGCGGUUCGGCCGGGAACUAUAAGGGGACUGCCGGUGAUAAACCGGAGGAAGGUGAGGACGACGUCAAGUCAUCAUGGCCCUUACGAGUAGGGCUACACACGUGCUACAAUGGGAAGUACAGAGGGACGCCAAAGCGCGAGCUGGAGCUAAUCUCAUAAAACUUUUCGUAGUCCGGAUUGCAGUCUGCAACUCGACUGCAUGAAGUCGGAAUCGCUAGUAAUCGCGGAUCAGCACGCCGCGGUGAAUACGUUCUCGGGUCUUGUACACACCGCCCGUCACACCAUGGGAGUGUAUUGCACCAGAAGUAGGUAGUCUAACCUUCGGGAGGGCGCUUACCACGGUGUGAUCCAUGACUGGGGUGAAGUCGUAACAAGGUAGCCG